This is a long non-coding RNA of Oncorhynchus kisutch (coho salmon), 2823 nucleotides long. RefSeq lists it as uncharacterized. Lineage: Eukaryota; Metazoa; Chordata; Actinopteri; Salmoniformes; Salmonidae. The transcript is spliced from 3 exons. The record is from RefSeq and is a predicted model, not a curated record.
GCAAUUAGGAGUCACAGCCGCCUCUCCCCCUCCAUGGAUGAGGCAGCCAGCUGACAAGGCUGCUGUGGUUCGCGCCAAUGGCGGAGGUUGGACUAUGGCUGGCAAAAGAAGCAUCCAGAUUCAGUCUUAGGGGUUCCAUGGCCAAGACAAAGACCCGAAGACAUUCAAGCAGCACUUUGAGAGUAAGCAUCCCAGUACUGGUUGAUGUGCUGGCCUAAGUGGACCAAAUGGACCUACUGCUGGGACAGACGAUGACCACGAUUUGAAAUCUGCAACUGAGAUGGAAUAACAUUGAGGGACACACGCUGACACCGAGUAUGACUGGACAUGGGCUGGAUAUUUGGGACAACAACCUGAAAGGGGUGUAUAAGCACACCAGCACCCCAAUUUAUGUUAUUCCAUGGCCAACCAUUCCACUAGCUACCCCUUAUUCCACACUAUGCCGUGUAUGCCCCCUCAACUCCAGACACUUUGGAACUAUCCACCUUCCCAACCAACCUUCACUGAUUUCCGCUAUGCUGCUUCCUUCACUUGUUCUUCUAAUAGCAUCUAGAAUCAGUAACACCUUUAAAUGUGGUCCUGCUUUAAAUGACGCUCUGCUUAUAAAGCCUUCAUAAUGCCGUCAUAAGCACAACACAAGUGUUGCAAAGCAUCUAUAACCGUAUGUCAUGCUUUAUAAAGGGUUCAUAAAUGUGGCAUAACUGUGUUACAUAAUCACCCAUGUCAAAUGUGACAACACUUAUGUUGAAUAUGAUACAAUCAAGUGGUUUAUAACGGGUGACAUGUUGUGCUGAAGGAUGGCACAUGCGCUAAAGUGAAGUCAUGUUAGUCACAUUACACCUAAUCUCGAUCCCAGACACUUCUGCCCCAAAUGCGCAGAAGGUCUAGUGGACCAAUGCAUGAAACUUGGCCUUCAUUAGUUAGGGUUGGGUUUCAAAUGAAAUUUGAAUCAGAUAGAUUGAGGAAAUGGGCAGUGAUUAGCCAUAAUUAUGACUCUGUGGCUGUACUUCAUAAAUCAUCAGAACCUUUAAUGACCUAUUUAAGGACACUUUAUCUGGUGUCCUGUAAUACUUUGUUUGAAGGGAUACAACUUCGGUCAUUCAUAACACAUCCAUAAAGACUCUAUAUCCCAUGGCGCUGUACUUUAAAGUCAGACCCCUUUGGUCAUUUCUAAACACACAUAGAUGCCUUGUAUCAUAUGACGCUGUACUUACUAUAAAGUCAGACACAUUUGGUCAUAAUCAUAACGCAUACAUAAAGUAAUAAUGAUGUAAACACACAUGUAUUAACACUUAGGGAAUUAUCACUAACAACCAAAACAAAUAAAUGUUAAAGACCUGUUUAAACCAUACAUUUCCUUUUAUUUGUACAUUUAUUUUUUUAAACAAUACAAAUACAUUAAGUUUCAAAAAGCCCAGCAAUGCAAUAACUUUGACCAUUAUACAGGGCAGCGAUUCGUAUGAUCAUUCAUUUACAAAUCUCAUGACGUGACUAUUAGACGUGGCUGUUUCUAGGGGGACUUUUAUUUAGCGGAGCCUGCUAAAGUAGCUAGCUAAAUUUAAUUAGCUAGCUAGCAAUUGUUUUGAUGUCAUUGAAAUUAUUUAAAAUAACGAUUGAGGAAGCAAUGUAAUCUAACUCAACACUUAACUAGUACAAACUAAUUUCAAUUACAAUAAAAGGUUAGGCUACUUGUUUUUGCUACUCACAAUUGACACCAGCAACAUGGACCUGUUAAAUUGAUAAGAAGGGUGUUGAUAUAGAUGCGUUUAGGCACGGCUUCCUUGUUUUGAGUCUGUUAAGUGUUUCUUAGUCUGCUGGAGUUUACCUAAUGUUUUAUAUUAAACAUGCCUUAAGCAUCCAGUUCUUUCUCCAUUAAUAACUCACCCACAACAAAUCACAAAAUGCUGGUUUUACAUUUUGUGUUAUUUGAGCUGGCCUAAUUUCUAAAAUGGAAAAGCUAAAGAAUCGGUGCUCUCUCUGAUAAAUAAUAGUUAAUAUGGUGCAUGUCUCUUUAAUGUCCAAGAUUUGUGGCACUGAUGAAUAAAUAACGUAAUCUUUACUUCAAGUCAGAUGUUUCCAUGUAUAAAAGGCAGUGAUUGACAUGGCCUGUAAUAGGUGCCUGUACUGUUUAUACAGUAUUUAGGUGCAGGAGCUCCAGAAUACUAGUGAGCUAAUAUUCUAUGAGGAACAGCAGCUCAAACAGAAGACAAUGUGAGGUGCCGGUAAUCAGCUCCAUUGAGCUCCUGCCUAAAAUAAUAAUUGUUGGAUUUCAGGUGUUUGACAUGAUUGAUGGGUGACUAGGUACAUUCUUGUCAAAUAAAUUCUUAUUCAUUCAUGAUUAUGGAUACAUUCUGCAAUGAGUUAAUAUGGCUUUGAAUCUGCAACAGAACUAUACGCGUAUGUUGCUAAUAUCAUCUAGGUAGCUAGCUAGCUUGUUUGCAAAAAAUAGCCUAGUUGUCACACUCUGGCCUUAGUUAUCUGUGUUUUCUUUAUUAUUUUGGUUAGGCCAGGGUGUGACAUGGGUGAUUCAUUGUGUUUCGUCUUGUCUAGGGGUUUUAUUAGAUUAAUGGGGUUGUGUUCAGUUUAGUUGUCUAGGAAAGUCUUUGGUUGCCUAGAGUGGUUCUCAAUCAGAGGCAGGUGUUUAUCGUUGUCUCUGAUUGGGAACCAUAUUUAGGCAGCCAUAUUCUUUGGGUAUUUUGUGGGUGAUUGUUUCCUGUCUUUGUGUUUUAUGCACCAGUUAGGACUGUUACGGUUUUCACGUUUAUUGUUUUGUAGUUUGUUCAUGUUUGAGUUUUCUUAUUAAAGAACCAUGAACUAAAACCA